GAUGAACGCUGACAGAAUGCUUAACACAUGCAAGUCAACUUGAACUUCGGUUUGGGUGGCGGACGGGUGAGUAACGCGUAAAGAACUUGCCUCACAGCUAGGGACAACAUUUGGAAACGAAUGCUAAUACCUGAUAUUAUGAUUUUAGGGCAUCCUAGAAUUAUGAAAGCUAUAUGCGCUGUGAGAGAGCUUUGCGUCCCAUUAGCUAGUUGGAGAGGUAACGGCUCACCAAGGCGAUGAUGGGUAGCCGGCCUGAGAGGGUGAACGGCCACAAGGGGACUGAGACACGGCCCUUACUCCUACGGGAGGCAGCAGUGGGGAAUAUUGGACAAUGGACCGAGAGUCUGAUCCAGCAAUUCUGUGUGCACGAUGAAGUUUUUCGGAAUGUAAAGUGCUUUCAGUUGGGAAGAAAUAAAUGACGGUACCAACAGAAGAAGUGACGGCUAAAUACGUGCCAGCAGCCGCGGUAAUACGUAUGUCACGAGCGUUAUCCGGAUUUAUUGGGCGUAAAGCGCGUCUAGGUGGUUAUGUAAGUCUGAUGUGAAAAUGCAGGGCUCAACUCUGUAUUGCGUUGGAAACUGUAUAACUAGAGUACUGGAGAGGUAAGCGGAACUACAAGUGUAGAGGUGAAAUUCGUAGAUAUUUGUAGGAAUGCCGAUGGGGAAGCCAGCUUACUGGACAGAUACUGACGCUAAAGCGCGAAAGCGUGGGUAGCAAACAGG
This 722-nucleotide ribosomal RNA is filed under the name uncultured Fusobacterium sp. RNAcentral's name for it is "bacterial SSU rRNA". It matches the Rfam family "Bacterial small subunit ribosomal RNA", at positions 28 to 776 of the family's 1533-position model. Lineage: Bacteria; Fusobacteriati; Fusobacteriota; Fusobacteriia; Fusobacteriales; Fusobacteriaceae. The record is from RNAcentral.